UACGGAGGGUGCAAGCGUUGUCCGGAUUUAUUGGGUUUAAAGGGUGCGUAGGCGGCCCUGUAAGUCAGUGGUGAAAUACUGCAGCUUAACUGUAGCAUUGCCAUUGAUACUGUAGGGCUUGAGUACAGAUGUGGUAGGCGGAAUUGAUGGUGUAGCGGUGAAAUGCAUAGAUACCAUCAAGAACACCGAUUGCGAAGGCAGCUUACUAAGCUGUAACUGACGCUGAGGCACGAAAGCGUGGGGAUCGAACAGG
This 253-nucleotide ribosomal RNA is filed under the name uncultured bacterium. RNAcentral's name for it is "partial 16S ribosomal RNA". It matches the Rfam family "Bacterial small subunit ribosomal RNA", at positions 524 to 776 of the family's 1533-position model. The record is from RNAcentral.